GUCGCACUGAAAUUGACAAAUAUGAAACGUAGCACUACAAAAAACACAACACCACGUACAAGAUAUAAAUAGAUUUCGGGGAGCGCGCGAACACAGUCCCCCACUACCAGCAAUUAUGCAGUGGAGAUUCCCGCAUUUGGGGAAUUCGCAGGGGUCAGCACAGCCGGAUUGCAAUGGCCGAGCCUCGCCCUGGGCGAACCACCUUCAUGAUCAUGGUAUCUCCCCUGCCAGAUGACGCAGCAACAGCAAAUAUGCAAGCUGGAAAAUAAAACAACAGUGCCCCCAGUGGGUAACACACUUUACUGUCUUUGCUUGCCUUUGAAGGUCAUGACUGCUAUAUGCGCCCCAGCAGCUUUGAGUCUCCUCAGUCCUUCAGGCUCCGAAUUAUUGUCCUCGCAGAAAUACAGACGGGCCGCGAAGAUACGCAGGCGUGAAGCACUCCCAGUUAAAUAGACAACGAUCACUCAGCUCAGGGAGCAGGAGGAUCACACAGUACAGGGAACACCUGCAAGCGUUGGCAUCACAGGCAAUAAACCAGAGAGACCACGCCGCUCUUUUGCCUUACGGCUACAAGAACUGUCCGAAGAUACCCUCAUGGGUAUUAAGGACUAGGACAUACUUCUGAGGGACCAGUUUGUUUAUGGCCUGCGCAAUACCACCUUGAGGUGUGACCUGAGAAUGAAGCUGCUCCUGAGGAGGAUCUCACCUUUGCGGGGGUAAACCAGGAAGUAAUUGCUCAGGUGGAGGUUUAUGGGGAAGAAGAGAUUCCUGUCCAGUCUUGUGGUGUUGAACAGGUUAAAGCCAAGAGUCCUGAUUUGUAACAGGUGAGAGAAGAGUUGCAAAGUGAACUGUUUAGUGCAGUCAGACAGCAGAUGGCAACCUUGUCCCGUGAGUUAAUCCUUAGCAGUCAGUUUAUUCAGUGCUUGUCAGGCACGUCAGGUCCAAUUUAUUUUUACGUGCGCUGUUUAAUUUUUUUUUUUUUUUCA
This is a long non-coding RNA of Polyodon spathula (Mississippi paddlefish), 986 nucleotides long. RefSeq lists it as uncharacterized. The transcript has 6 exons. Lineage: Eukaryota; Metazoa; Chordata; Actinopteri; Acipenseriformes; Polyodontidae. The record is from RefSeq and is a predicted model, not a curated record.